GCAUGGUUGGGCCCUCCCCCUCUCAACAGAUCAAGAGGUGAAGGGAGAGGUGAAGGGAGGCUCUGCUCAGCUGUGAGGCAACAGAAGGCAGGAUCGGUGCUGACCUCCGCCAUGGCCUGGUCCCCUCUCCUCCUCACCCUCCUCGCUCACUGCACAGGGAUUUGGGCUCAGUCGGGGCCGAAUCAACCAUCCUCAGUGUCUGGGGCCCUGGGCCAGAGGGUCACUAUCUCCUGCACUGGAGUUGAUAGUUACGUUGGUUGGUACCAACAAAUCCCAGGAAUGGCCCCCAAAACCAUCAUCUAUAAUAAUAACAACCGACCCUCCGGGGUCCCUGACCGAUUCUCCGGCUCCAAGUCUGGCAGCACAGGCACCCUGACCAUCACGGGGCUCCAAGCCGAGGACGAGGCUGAUUAUUACUGCCAAUCGUGGUACAGCAGUGGCACAGCUUACACAGUGGUCCAGGCCUGUGGGGAAGGGGCACUGUCGGCCUCCCCAGGAAGAGCACACUGGGGGCCCCCUGCUGUGUACCCUACAACCCCCUUAGGGCGCCCACACUUUGCCUAUGUGUGCUAG
Prionailurus viverrinus (fishing cat) is the source of this 573-nucleotide non-coding RNA. Lineage: Eukaryota; Metazoa; Chordata; Mammalia; Carnivora; Felidae. The record is from the annotation of a RefSeq genome assembly.